This is a non-coding RNA of Pelobates cultripes (western spadefoot toad), 374 nucleotides long. The record is from the annotation of a GenBank genome assembly. Lineage: Eukaryota; Metazoa; Chordata; Amphibia; Anura; Pelobatidae.
AUUUAUAAUAAUCCAGUUUAGGCAACACAUAAUUGGCAUUGCAAAAACACUUGAUAUUGAGUAACCAUGAGUCUAGGCAAUAUUGUAGCCAUUUUUCACGUCAGCACAGUCACAGUCAGCAUCAUUUUCCCACUGUUUUGGCUGCCCGUAUUACCUUCCCGUAUUUUUUCGGUCCCGAAAUUCAGCCGAGCUGCAUUGUGGCAUGAAUUUGAUUUUGUAAUUUUUCCACCCUGCGCAAGUCUAGAAAUUACUGAAGCCUAUAUUGUUCUUUGAGGAACUGAGUGAGUGCUCUCUCUGUUUCCUAAACCAAACCUAAUAUAGUCUUAUUUCAGUCUGCAUUUCAAAUAACCUAGAUAAUCAAUAUAAAAAAUAAU